This 205-nucleotide long non-coding RNA is filed under the name Hordeum vulgare. RNAcentral describes it as "long non-coding RNA (HVUL_LNC015231)". The record is from RNAcentral. Lineage: Eukaryota; Viridiplantae; Streptophyta; Magnoliopsida; Poales; Poaceae.
CCCCACCUUCGCCUCCAAGAGGCUCACCUUCCGGUUCUCCCGGGUGCUGGUCGACGGCGGCAACAGCAUCAACAUCCUCUACCUCGACACUCUCCUCAAGCUCGGGCUCAAGGAGACGGACGUCCUGCCGACCAGCACUGUCUUCCACGGCAUCGUGUCGGGGCAGUCCUGCUCGCCUAUCAGCAAAAUUCAGCUGGACGUCCUC